Molecule: ribosomal RNA, 628 nt
Filed under: uncultured bacterium
Lineage: Bacteria
Description: bacterial SSU rRNA
Rfam family: Bacterial small subunit ribosomal RNA (bases 1-525)
Source: RNAcentral
CCUACGGGAGGCAGCAGUGAGGAAUAUUGGGCAAUGGACGCAAGUCUGACCCAGCAACGCCGCGUGGAGGAUGAAGGUCUUUGGAUUGUAAACUCCUUUUGCCGGGGAAGAGAGAGGACGGUACCCGGAGAAUAAGUCACGGCUAACUACGUGCCAGCAGCCGCGGUAAUACGUAGGUGACAAGCGUUAUCCGGAUUUAUUGGGCGUAAAGCGCACGCAGGCGGCAGAGAAAGUCUGACGUGAAAUCUCCCGGCUUAACUGGGAGCGGUCGUUGGAAACUACUUGGCUUGAGGCGAUGAGAGGGGUGUGGAAUUCCCGGUGUAGUGGUGGAAUGCGUAGAUAUCGGGGGGAACAUCAGCGGCGAAAGCGGCACCCUGGCAUUAGCCUGACGCUCAUGUGCGAAAGCGUGGGGAGCGAACGGGAUUAGAUACCCCGGUAGUCCACGCUGUAAACGAUGAAUACUAGGUGUGGGUGGUCUCAAAACUACACUCGUCGCGACGACGAACGACGAUAAGUAUUACCGUCCGUCGGGUAGGUACGGUCCGGCCGACGGACGUAAACCGUAACGAAACGGAAAGUUAGUACGGUCGUGAGACGUUGUCGAACGGACGACGACGACGGGAGGAGG